This is a long non-coding RNA of Cyprinus carpio carpio, 1321 nucleotides long. Lineage: Eukaryota; Metazoa; Chordata; Actinopteri; Cypriniformes; Cyprinidae. The record is from Ensembl.
AGUUACCACAGAUCUCAUUGAAAGGCCCCAAACUCUAUUGGAUUCACUGUGUUGAACAAAAGAAAAUAAUCUAUUCACAGCUGAUAGAAACUACUUGCAUAAUUAUAAAUCUCUAUGCACCUGUGUGAAACUCAUUUGCACAACUCUUCAAUCAGCAAUCAGUCCUCAUCCAUCUAUAAAAGAUGCCACCUCUGUGUUGCUAUUUGCAAGCAUGGAUCAAAGAGGCCAUAGGCUCAAGUUUCAAAUGAAAUUCGGGCAACAAUUAUUGACCAUGUCAUCAAUCAUGGCUUGUCCUUUAGAAAGGCUGGACAAAGGGUCCAGCCCAUUCUGAGUCGGAGCACUGUGGCAUCUAUUGUCAGGCUUUUUUGGAAUGAGAACAGAAUCCACACAUUACCACACACUGGUGGCAGAGGAAAGAUAUUUAGUAUUGAACAGGAGUCUGCCAUUGUAGAUAUGGUAGUGGCAAACAAUGCAAUCAGACUGCAUGAAAUCCAGGCAGCAGUAAUUGCAGAUCAGGGAGCAUUUAGGAAUAUAAACAGUGUGAGUUUGGCAACUAUAGAUCGAGUCCUUAAACCAAACCAUGUCAGAAUGAAGCAGCUGUACAGAGUUCCAUUUCAAAGAAACUCUGACAUCGUAAAGGAGGCACGAUUCCAGUAUGUGCAGAGAAUAAUGGAGCUUGAAGCUGAAGGGGCACAUCACAAAUUCAUUUUUGUGGAUGAAGCCGGCUUCAACCUCUGUAAAGUGAGGCGACGCGGGAGGAACAUCAUUGGGCAGAGGGCCACUGUCACAGUGCCAGGUCAGAGGGGUGCCAAUAUCACCAUGUGUGCUGCCAUCUCCAAUGAUGGAGUCCUUUGCCACAUACCAACUAUUGGCCCAUACAAUACAGAACGUCUCAUCACAUUUCUUGAUGCAUUGAAAGAUUUACUGAUUCCACCCGAAGAGAGAGGGCUGUUGAGGCCUGGCAUGACUCUGUAUGUCAUAAUUUGGGACAAUGUGGCUUUCCACCACUCUCGCCUUGUGAAUGAAUGGUUUGCAGCACAGCCUCGUAUUAUGAUACAAUUCCUCCCUGCAUACUCGCCUUUUCUGAACCCAAUCGAGGAGUUCUUCUCUGCCUGGAGGUGGAAGGUGUAUGAUCACCGGCCAUAUGAGCAGAUGCCCCUCCUGGAGGCAAUGAAUGCUGGUUGCCUGGCAAUAGGUGCAGAGGACUGCCAGGGAUGGAUACGCCAUGCAAGGAGGUAUUUCCCUCGGUGCAUUGCAAGGGAAAACAUUCAAUGCGAUUGUUGAUGAGAACCUGUGGCAUAAUCGUCAAGAACGAAUGGAC